Molecule: ribosomal RNA, 397 nt
Filed under: uncultured bacterium
Lineage: Bacteria
Description: partial 16S ribosomal RNA
Rfam family: Bacterial small subunit ribosomal RNA
Source: RNAcentral
AUACGUAGGGGGCGAGCGUUGUCCGGAAUGAUUGGGCGUAAAGGGCGCGUAGGCGGCGCGGUAAGUCUGGAGUGAAAGUCCUGCUUUCAAGGUGGGAAUUGCUUUGGAUACUGCCGCGCUUGAGUGCAGGAGAGGUUAUCGGAAUUCCCGGUGUAGCGGUGAAAUGCGUAGAGAUCGGGAGGAACACCAGUGGCGAAGGCGGAUAACAGGGCUACAACGGACGUUGAGGCUAGAAAGUGCGGGGAGCAAAAAGGCUUAGAUACCCGGGUAGUCCACGCUGUAAACGAUGAAUUCUACGUGUAAGUGGUAUCGACCCCUUCUGUCCCGGAGUCAACACAAUAAGCAUUACGCCUGGGGACUUCGGCCGCACGGUUGAAACUCAAAUGAAUUGACUGGG